GACGAACGCUGGCGGCGUGCUUAACACAUGCAAGUCGAACGGUAAGGCCCUUCGGGGUACACGAGUGGCGAACGGGUGAGUAACACGUGGGAGAUCUGCCCUGCACUUCGGGAUAAGCCUGGGAAACUGGGUCUAAUACCGGAUAGGACCACUGCCUGCAUGGGUGGUGGUGGAAAGCUUUUGCGGUGUGGGAUGGGCCCGCGGCCUAUCAGCUUGUUGGUGGGGUAAUGGCCUACCAAGGCGACGACGGGUAGCCGGCCUGAGAGGGUGACCGGCCACACUGGGACUGAGAUACGGCCCAGACUCCGACGGGAGGCAGCAGUGGGGAAUAUUGCACAAUGGGCGCAAGCCUGAUGCAGCGACGCCGCGUGAGGGAUGACGGCCUUCGGGUUGUAAACCUCUUUCAGCACCGACGAAGCGCAAGUGACGGUAGGUGCAGAAGAAGGACCGGCCAACUACGUGCCAGCCGCCGCCGUAA
RNAcentral lists this ribosomal RNA (478 nucleotides) under uncultured bacterium. RNAcentral describes it as "partial 16S ribosomal RNA". It matches the Rfam family "Bacterial small subunit ribosomal RNA", at positions 28 to 523 of the family's 1533-position model. The record is from RNAcentral.